AGCGGUAGAGAGAAGCUUGCUUCUCUUGAGAGCGGCGGACGGGUGAGUAAUGCCUAGGAAUCUGCCUGGUAGUGGGGGAUAACGCUCGGAAACGGACGCUAAUACCGCAUACGUCCUACGGGAGAAAGCAGGGGACCUUCGGGCCUUGCGCUAUCAGAUGAGCCUAGGUCGGAUUAGCUAGUUGGUGAGGUAAUGGCUCACCAAGGCGACGAUCCGUAACUGGUCUGAGAGGAUGAUCAGUCACACUGGAACUGAGACACGGUCCAGACUCCUACGGGAGGCAGCAGUGGGGAAUAUUGGACAAUGGGCGAAAGCCUGAUCCAGCCAUGCCGCGUGUGUGAAGAAGGUCUUCGGAUUGUAAAGCACUUUAAGUUGGGAGGAAGGGCAUUAACCUAAUACGUUAGUGUUUUGACGUUACCGACAGAAUAAGCACCGGCUAACUCUGUGCCAGCAGCCGCGGUAAUACAGAGGGUGCAAGCGUUAAUCGGAAUUACUGGGCGUAAAGCGCGCGUAGGUGGUUCGUUAAGUUGGAUGUGA
Molecule: ribosomal RNA, 537 nt
Filed under: Pseudomonas corrugata
Lineage: Bacteria; Pseudomonadati; Pseudomonadota; Gammaproteobacteria; Pseudomonadales; Pseudomonadaceae
Description: bacterial SSU rRNA
Rfam family: Bacterial small subunit ribosomal RNA
Source: RNAcentral